RNAcentral lists this ribosomal RNA (221 nucleotides) under uncultured bacterium. RNAcentral describes it as "partial 16S ribosomal RNA". It matches the Rfam family "Bacterial small subunit ribosomal RNA", at positions 111 to 334 of the family's 1533-position model. The record is from RNAcentral.
UAAUAUAUCGGAACGUACCCUGGAGUGGGGGAUAACGUAGCGAAAGUUACGCUAAUACCGCAUACGAUCUAAGGAUGAAAUGGGGGAUUCGCAAGAACCUCAUGCUCCUGGAGCGGCCGAUAUCUGAUUAGCUAGUUGGUGGGGUAAAGGCCUACCAAGGCAUCGAUCAGUAGCUGGUCUGAGAGGACGACCAGCCACACUGGAACUGAGACACGGUCCAG